UACGAAGGGGGCUAGCGUUGCUCGGAAUUACUGGGCGUAAAGCGCACGUAGGCGGCUUUUUAAGUCGGGGUGAAAUCCUGGAGCUCAACUCCAGAACUGCCUUCGAUACUGGAAAGCUCGAGUCCGGGAGAGGUGAGUGGAACUGCGAGUGUAGAGGUGAAAUUCGUAGAUAUUCGCAAGAACACCAGUGGCGAAGGCGGCUCACUGGCCCGGUACUGACGCUGAGGUGCGAAAGCGUGGGGAGCAAACAGG
This 252-nucleotide ribosomal RNA is filed under the name uncultured bacterium. RNAcentral's name for it is "partial 16S ribosomal RNA". It matches the Rfam family "Bacterial small subunit ribosomal RNA", at positions 524 to 776 of the family's 1533-position model. The record is from RNAcentral.